RNAcentral lists this long non-coding RNA (268 nucleotides) under Elaeis guineensis (African oil palm). RNAcentral's name for it is "long non-coding RNA (EGUI_LNC071829)". The record is from RNAcentral. Lineage: Eukaryota; Viridiplantae; Streptophyta; Magnoliopsida; Arecales; Arecaceae.
UACUUGAAAACUAUAAAAUUCAUUAAAAUAGUGAGAGACACAAUUAGACAAAAGUCCUAAUCUAGUUGUGCAUGUCAUCAUGAGUUGUCUGCUUAUAUUAUGUUCUUAUUAUUAUAGAUUAACUGCAUACAUGACAUUCUCACUAUCACUACGAGAUAUACUAGAUGCUAACAAAUUGAUUGGACCAAACUAUAUGGACUGAUUGAAAAAUUUGAGAAUUAUUCUCACACAGAAGAAAGUCUCCUACAUACUAGAUUCAUCUGCACUC